Vigna umbellata (rice bean) is the source of this 1553-nucleotide non-coding RNA. The record is from RefSeq and is a predicted model, not a curated record. NCBI's taxonomy places the organism in Eukaryota, Viridiplantae, Streptophyta, Magnoliopsida, Fabales, Fabaceae.
UUUAUUGAAAGCUAAGAGCUUUUUCCUUAACCAGAAACCAUGGCUUUCUCUCAAAUCAUAACUCACCUAUGCUUUUGCUAUCAAUCUAACUAGGACACUCUGAAAGCUCAACACUCUCAACUACAUUCUUUUACUUUUAUGAAUUUUACAUGAACAUAAAUGGAAAUACUGUGUACUAUAAUAAAUAGAUAAAUGAUAGUAUUUAUUUACUGAUGCUAACUUUCAAAUGAUUGAUUCUAUCUCAUAAUUAAAAAUUGUGCUCACGUGAUUAUUUUUUACUAACUUCAUCAUAUGUUGUCAUAAUUUUGUCACUCUCACCGUUUUAUGCAUUUCUAUGUUCAUACUGUAUUGGAGAACACGUCUAUAAUUUCAUGAAGAUGCAACUUAAAAAUGGCCAGUACAAUGUAAGUGGUAAAGAAUAAGGUUCAGCAGGAAAUUGUUCCUUUGUGGAAGUGAAAGAUGAAGAAAGUGAAAAUAAUUCCUUGUACUCUUUGAAGUCAGAAAUUGUAUUAAAAGUGGUUAGUAUGUUGGAGAACAGGUUAUAAGUACUUGGCUAAUUGAAGGCAGAUUAGAAGCUUGGAAACUUCAGGAUUCUAUUUCUUAGUUCAUUAGUAGGAGAGGUCCAAUCAUUACAUGGCAGAUGUAGCGAGACAAUCUUCUCCAUUUAAAAAUUUCUUAAUGUGAUAGAAAGCUGUGCUAUUUAAACUGUUAUGAUCAUUUAACACAUGUGUGUCAAGCAUGAAUAUAUAUGUACUGAAGUCCCUGUUUGUUCAGUCUUCAAGUAUAUUUGAUAUUCUGUCAAGCAUAAACUGGGAGUUUGUCUACCUUUGGCAUACCAUUUUUUGCUAGAGGCAACAUUGAGUUUAGUGAUGCUUGCAAAUUUUGAGUAACUAUGGCAUCUCAUCCUGAAUGGCUUCACUUUGUACCCAUAUUUGCUUCAGUUGUGAUCCACCAAGCACUUGCACUUGUUAUAACCAAGUUAUUUUUUGAAUAAUACCUAUAACAUGAAAGAUGUCUCUGUUAUUUCAUUUUUCUCUAAUAUGAAACUUAUUGACUGAUUUUCUUAUCUGUGCUGACAAAAACUUCGUUUCUUGCCCAAAAACCCAUGUAAAUCUUUUUUCCUUGCUGUUCAGAUCACAGAUUUGCUUGUUAAUAUUACAAAGCAUGUGUUGAAGCCAAAGCAUCAGGUGCUGACUGAUAGGCAGAAGAAAAAUCUCCUGAAGAAGUUCAAUAUAGAAGAAAAGCAGCUUCCCCGCAUGCUAAAGAGUGAUGCAAUUGCACGAUAUUAUGGACUUGAGAGGGGCCAAGUAGUUAAAGUUACCUAUAGUGGUGAAAUCACCCAGAUGCAUGUCACAUAUCGAUGUGUGUGGUGAUAGUUUCUUGUGCUCUUUUGUAUUUUUUCAGGUUGAAUUCGUAGUAUUUAACUGUUGUAUCAUGCUUAAGGUUAUGAUUGCAUAAGUUGAUCAAUCCUAACGCUCUGAAUCUGUACUCUGUAAAUUUGGUGAUGACAUUUCUCUCUCUUAACUUCUUGAAGAACAACCUGCAUUGAGCAA